GGCCGGUAUCGGGAUUACUGGGCGUAAGGGUGCGCAGGCGGCCUCGCAUGUCAGGCGUGAAAUCCCCGGGCUUAACUUGGGAAUGGCGCUUGAAACUACGAGGCUGGAGUGUGGCAGAGGGAGGUGGAAUUCCACGUGUAGCGGUGAAAUGCGUAGAGAUGUGGAGGAACACCGAUGGCGAAGGCAGCCUCCUGGGCCAACACUGACGCUCAUGCACGAAAGCGUGGGGAGCAAACAGGAUUAGAUACCCUGGUAGUCCACGCCCUAAACGAUGACGACUAGUUGUUGGGGGAGUU
RNAcentral lists this ribosomal RNA (296 nucleotides) under uncultured beta proteobacterium. Its description in RNAcentral is "partial 16S ribosomal RNA". It matches the Rfam family "Bacterial small subunit ribosomal RNA", at positions 537 to 833 of the family's 1533-position model. Lineage: Bacteria; Pseudomonadati; Pseudomonadota; Betaproteobacteria. The record is from RNAcentral.